CCCAGGCAAGUUGACAUAUAAGGUAAACCAUCACAUGGAUGUUUAGGUUUGUUCUAUUUGUUACUUUUACAAACAAAGUGCAUUCAUCUGAUCAUUUGCCUUAGAUAAAUUACUGGAAAUAGAAGAAUUUAUCUUUUAAAUAGAUCUAUUUAUAUCUGAUCAUUUGAUGCAUUCUUCCAAAUUUCCCUCCAGAAAGCUUGUACCAGUUGUGACUCCCACCAAUGCUGGCUGAAGAUGUCAGAAAGCAAAACCUAUUCUAAGGUGUCCCAGGCUCAAGCCUGAGUUCCUAGUUUGGUAAUGACACUGGGGAAUUUCUUGUUUUAUAUAUUUUUUGUGCAUUUCAAAAGAAAUGAUCAAGAAGCUGUGAUGGGAUGUUUUUGGUCUUGAAGGACCUAGUAAUACACUUCUCUGUUUCAAGGUGUGGCUGUGCAAUUCCCAGCCCCACUAGUCCCCUGUCUUGUAUGUUUAUCCAUUGUACCUUCUCUGCUGCUGGUGAUUCUCAGUAGGGCACGUUCUCAAGCAGGCCUCCCUAGGGGUGGAUGGUGCCAUUGCUUCCAUCCAGUUGGAUGGAUCCUAAAAACUUAACAGGCCAUAACACAGGGGUGGAGAAAGCUCAGAGCUCCAAACAAAAGGGGAGAACCAUCUGGCCUUUCCCAGUACCUACUCUAGUAGAGCAGGUUAAUUAAAAACAGAAGCAACCAUAAGACCUGACUGGUGUUAUCUCUUUUCCCAGCCCCAACCAAGGCAAAACAACAAAAAAAGCCCAUACUGAGACUCAGGGUCUUUUGUGUUUAUGAUUCCCAUGUGUGUGGUCCCAGAGAGAAAGAGGUUGGAGGAGGCAGGGGCUUGAGGUCAGCAGGCUGCAGUGGAGAGCUGCUUUCCUGUGAGGAGGCUGAAGUCCCCUAAAACGAAGAGAAAGCUUGGGAUGUUGGGCUAUUCCCGACCCUGCUUUCAUGUCACUCUCUCUGAUUUCAUUUCACAUAUCACAGUUGACAGGGCAUAGAUACUCUCGAGACUUUUUUUUUUUUUGAGAUGGAGUCUCGCUCUGUCACUCAGGCUGGAGUGCCGUGGCAUAAUCUCGGCUCACUGCAACCUCCACCUCCUGGGUUCAAGUGAUUCUACUGCCGCAGCCUCCCAAGUAGCUGGGACUACAGGUGCAUGCCACCACACUCGACUAAUUUUUGUAUGUUUAGUAGAGACGGGGGUUUCACCAUGUUUGCCAGACUGGUCUCAAACUCCUGACCUCAGGUGAUCUGCCCACCUUGGCCUCCCAAAGUCCUAGGAUUACAGGCAUGAGCCACCACACCAGGCUCUAGAGACAUUUCUAAAGGGGAUGCUUGGAAUCUUGAGAAGCCUGUAGGUCUUCUUGUAGGCAAUCAAUUAUCUGCUCAUUGAAGUAAGAAAGCCAAGUACUUGAUUGGGGGCAGGUGGGUGGGCAAUGGUAGGACAUUUACUCCCAGACCCCAUGCUUGAAAAUCAAUUCUCUUUCCAGUUUUCCAACUUUUCUGUUUUAAGCAACAUCAGUCAGGUGUCAGAAUGCCCACAAAGCUUUUCUGAUUGAAUGAGUAAUAGGUAGGCUCUAUUUUAUUCUGUGUGAAAAUUAAGGGUCUUUAUCUCUCAGCUCUUACCAUGGCCAAUAAAUAAAUGCUUUGGAAGGUACAGCUGUGGCCUUCUCUGGAAUUGAGGACCCUCAGAACACUGCUGGCACCCUAGACCUUCCACAGAGCUUGGCCCAAUGAAUGAAUGAUGGGAACUUGGACGCAAGAGCAAUGGUGAGAUUUGCUCGGGUCUCUCCUGCCCAAGUUAAUUUGCAUAUCUGUUGUAUGGCUUCCAAGCAAGGUAAGGACAAUUUGGCCUAAUUUUAUUUGUAUCUAUAAUCCAACCUAGGGGUUUGAAGGACAAAUAUCAAACAGUGGCAGAUUUCUGUUUCAGUGUUGAGCACCGGGUGUCCCUUCAGGCCUUGUUCAAGGCAGCUCCCAAGAGUCCAGUGGGCAACCUAGUGUUAGGAGGUUGCCUGUCCCAUCUCUCUAGGGUAUGAGACCAAAAGAUGGGCUUUGUUUGGUUUCCUGGAAACCUUGCCUCUGUGAAAGAGCAUUCAGGGAUCUCAAAGGACCAAUCUUGUACUUCCCUCCAUGCCACCUGUCUACCUUCCAAGCCAAAGGUGCAUGGUAGCCACUUUAGGGGGAA
This 2187-nucleotide long non-coding RNA is filed under the name Homo sapiens (human). RNAcentral describes it as "HSALNT0036665". The record is from RNAcentral. Lineage: Eukaryota; Metazoa; Chordata; Mammalia; Primates; Hominidae.